Sorghum bicolor (sorghum) is the source of this 604-nucleotide long non-coding RNA. RefSeq lists it as uncharacterized. The transcript is spliced from 3 exons. NCBI's taxonomy places the organism in Eukaryota, Viridiplantae, Streptophyta, Magnoliopsida, Poales, Poaceae. The record is from RefSeq and is a predicted model, not a curated record.
AAGUCGUCUCUCGUCUCGAGUCAUACCGUUUGCGAGGAGACGGCUGGGGGCGAGGCGACGGCACAGCGGGAGGCGCACGAGGCGACGACGCGGCACGGCCACCACCAACGGCGACGGUGAAUGCUUCCCCUCCGACGUCCAUACUCCCCGCCGCCUUCUCUCCGAUCUCUCCAGCACCAUUUAGAGUUGGGGAAGGUGAACCUCCGUCUUCUUGGGAUCCGGUACCAACUCCAGAAGGGCCACUUUGGUGGGGAUAUGACUGUGUGGUUGAUGAGUGGAGCAAGUUCUAAUGAUGGAAUAGAAAUGCUUGUAGGAACCCCUAGUCUUUUUUAAGAGAUCGAUUCUACUCAAGUAUAUGUCGAAUUUCUGUUCUAGUGUCAUUAAAGUUCAGUACCAUAUGCAACUACUGCCUGAUGGCCCCCAACUCCCAUUCACUCAUAUAGCUACUAGAUGUAGUGUUAACUUGAGCGGACGAUUACUUGGCAUACAACUAAGAUACGUGCAAGUCGCUAAAGAUUAUGAUAAUGUUUAGAUUAUCAUCUUUUGUAACUUGUGACGUCGUUUAUUUAUUUACAAUCUUUAUCGUUGGAUCUUGAAUUUGUGA